UACGUAGGGUGCGAGCGUUGUCCGGAAUUAUUGGGCGUAAAGGGCUUGUAGGCGGUUCGUCACGUCGAAAGUGAAAACUCAGGGCUUAACCCUGAGCCUGCUUUCGAUACGGGUGAACUAGAGGAAUGCAGGGGAGAACGGAAUUCCUGGUGGAGCGGUGGAAUGCGCAGAUAUCAGGAGGAACACCGGUGGCGAAGGCGGUUCUCUGGGCAUUACCUGACGCUGAGAAGCGAAAGCGUGGGGAGCAAACAGG
This 253-nucleotide ribosomal RNA is filed under the name uncultured Propionibacteriaceae bacterium. Its description in RNAcentral is "partial 16S ribosomal RNA". It matches the Rfam family "Bacterial small subunit ribosomal RNA", at positions 524 to 776 of the family's 1533-position model. Lineage: Bacteria; Bacillati; Actinomycetota; Actinomycetes; Propionibacteriales; Propionibacteriaceae. The record is from RNAcentral.